Phacochoerus africanus (Common warthog) is the source of this 395-nucleotide long non-coding RNA. RefSeq lists it as uncharacterized. The transcript has 3 exons. The record is from RefSeq and is a predicted model, not a curated record. Lineage: Eukaryota; Metazoa; Chordata; Mammalia; Artiodactyla; Suidae.
CUAGGGAAGAAACAGAGCAAUGAAGAUAUUCAUCACACAAUUUGAAUGAACAGUGACUGGUGUCUGGGCUCCUCUCCAGCAUGGAUUUUCUCAAGUAGGAUUGCAGGAUCAACAGAAUGUGCCCUAAAGUUUGCUGAAGAUGACCAGUUCCAGUUCCAAAAAGGGCUUCACAUCCACUCUCAUAAGCAAAGGUGUCCAGACUAGUCCAGAGGAUGGAAACGGCAGGUGAGAUCAAAGACCCCUGAGUCUGAUGUGAAAGGUUGGAUGUGGCUGAGAAAGAAGUGUGGAAAGGGGAGUAGGUAUUGUGAAGAGCUGUAACAGAGGAAGCAAGAAUAUUUAUGGUCGAAUUUCCCCCAGAAGACGAAAAUAGGAAAAACCUAUUUUUUAAGUUGCAA